CCUGCAGGAAAGGACAUCAACCGAGACUCCGCAAGUAGUGGCGAGCGAACGCGGACCAGGCCAGUGGCAAUGAGGAAUAAAGUGGAACGAUUUGGAAAGAUCGGCCGUAGCGGGUGACAGCCCCGUACACGUAGAACACUCAUUGUCCUUGAGUAAGGCGGGACACGAGAAAUCCUGUCUGAACAUGGGGAGACCACUCUCCAAGCCUAAGUACUCGUGCAUGACCGAUAGCGAACAAGUACCGUGAGGGAAAGGUGAAAAGCACCCCGACAAGGGGAGUGAAAUAGAACCUGAAACCGGAUGCCUACAAACAGUCGGAGCCCGCAAGGGUGACGGCGUACCUUUUGUAUAAUGGGUCAACGACUUAGUGUGACAUGCAAGCUUAAGCCGGUAGGUGGAGGCGUAGCGAAAGCGAGUCUGAACAGGGCGCCUUAGUAUGUCGCAUUAGACCCGAAACCGAGUGAUCUAGCCAUGAGCAGGUUGAAGGUUGGGUAACACCAACUGGAGGACCGAACCCGCAUCUGUUGCAAUAGAUUGGGAUGACUUGUGGCUAGGGGUGAAAGGCCAAUCAAACUCGGAAAUAGCUGGUUCUCCGCGAAAUCUAUUUAGGUAGAGCGUCGACCGAAUACCCCCGGGGGUAGAGCACUGGAUGGGCUAUGGGGACUCACCGUCUUACUGAUCCUAACCAAACUCCGAAUACCGGGGAGUACUAGUCGGCAGACACACGGCGGGUGCUAACGUCCGUCGUGAAGAGGGCAACAACCCUGACCUCCAGCUAAGGUCCCCAAGUCAUGGCUAAGUGGGAAAGGAUGUGAGGAUCCCAAAACAACCAGGAUGUUGGCUUAGAAGCAGCCAUCAUUUAAAGAAAGCGUAACAGCUCACUGGUCUAAACAAGGGUCUUUGCGCCGAAAAUGUAACGGGGCUAAAGCCAUGCACCGAAGCUGAGGAUGUAUCUUAAAGAUACGUGGUAGCGGAGCGUUCCGUAAGCCAGUGAAGGGAUACCCGUGAGGGGUCCUGGAGGUAUCGGAAGUGCGAAUGUUGACAUGAGUAACGAUAAAGAGGGUGAGAGACCCUCUCGCCGAAAGACCAAGGGUUCCUGCUUAAAGUUAAUCUGAGCAGGGUUAGCCGGCCCCUAAGACGAGGCGGACACGCGUAGUCGAUGGGAACCACGUUAAUAUUCGUGGGCCUGGUGGUAGUGACGGAUCGCUUAACUUGUCAGGACUUAUUGGAUUGUCCUGGCCUGGACGCGGUCCCGGGAAAUAGCUCCACCAUAUAGACCGUACCCGAAACCGACACAGGUGGUCAGGUAGAGUAUACCAAGGCGCUUGAGAGAACUGCGUUGAAGGAACUCGGCAAAUUGCACGCGUAACUUCGGAAGAAGCGUGACCCCAUUAUGGGCAACCAUGAUGGGGUGGCACAGACCAGGGGGUAGCGACUGUUUAUCAAAAACACAGGGCUCUGCGAAGUCGCAAGACGACGUAUAGGGUCUGACGCCUGCCCGGUGCUGGAAGGUUAAGAGGAGGGGUGCAAGCUCUGAAUCGAAGCCCCAGUAAACGGCGGCCGUAACUAUAACGGUCCUAAGGUAGCGAAAUUCCUUGUCGGGUAAGUUCCGACCUGCACGAAUGGCGUAACGACUUCCCCGCUGUCUCCAACGCAGACUCAGUGAAAUUGAAUUCCCCGUGAAGAUGCGGGGUUCCUGCGGUCAGACGGAAAGACCCCGUGCACCUUUACUAUAGCUUUACACUGGCAUUCGUGUCGGCAUGUGUAGGAUAGGUGGUAGGCUUUGAAGCAGGGACGCCAGUUCCUGUGGAGCCGUCCUUGAAAUACCACCCUUAUCGUCAUGGAUGUCUAACCGCGGUCCGUCAUCCGGAUCCGGGACAGUGUAU
RNAcentral lists this ribosomal RNA (1886 nucleotides) under Sinorhizobium kostiense. RNAcentral's name for it is "bacterial LSU rRNA". It matches the Rfam family "Bacterial large subunit ribosomal RNA", at positions 209 to 2259 of the family's 2925-position model. Lineage: Bacteria; Pseudomonadati; Pseudomonadota; Alphaproteobacteria; Hyphomicrobiales; Rhizobiaceae. The record is from RNAcentral.